This is a long non-coding RNA of Mustela erminea (ermine), 323 nucleotides long. RefSeq lists it as uncharacterized. The record is from RefSeq and is a predicted model, not a curated record. NCBI's taxonomy places the organism in Eukaryota, Metazoa, Chordata, Mammalia, Carnivora, Mustelidae. The transcript is spliced from 3 exons.
UAAAAAGUCUGCUAUAUUUUUUUGAGUGGGGAUUCUUUCUAAUACAAAAAUAGCAAGACUUGAAACAUAGCAUAUGUCCACCAGCAGCGAAUGACUGGUUGAAUAAGCUACACAAUGAAGACUCAGAGACUGCAAAAAGAACCACGGACUCCUCGACAUACUACUGCAGAGUUUUUCCGUGAAUAAAGCAAGAUCAGUUUCUUGUGAAUUUGGUGACAGUGAAUCAGUUUCUUUAAGCUUGGUCAAUUUUGAUUUUGCAGAUAUAAAAAAAAAUCAAAUUUCUACAGUCAAAUGCUCUGCUACUAACAAACGGAGUUUCUGGA